AACGCUAGCUACAGGCUUAACACAUGCAAGUCGAGGGGCAGCAUAAAAGUAGCAAUACUUUGGUGGCGACCGGCGCACGGGUGAGUAACGCGUAUGCAACCUACCUAUCAGAGGGGAAUAACCCGGCGAAAGUCGGACUAAUACCGCAUAAAACAGGGGCACCGCAUGGUGAUAUUUGUUAAAGAAAUUCGCUGAUAGAUGGGCAUGCGUUCCAUUAGGUAGUUGGUGAGGUAACGGCUCACCAAGCCGACGAUGGAUAGGGGAACUGAGAGGUUGGUCCCCCACAUUGGAACUGAGACACGGUCCAAACUCCUACGGGAGGCAGCAGUGAGGAAUAUUGGUCAAUGGGCGCGAGCCUGAACCAGCCAAGUAGCGUGAGGGAUGACGGCCCUAUGGGUUGUAAACCUCUUUUAUGCGGGAAUAAAAUGUUUGACGUGUCAUACAUUGUAGGUACCGCAAGAAUAAGGACCGGCUAAUUCCGCGCCAGCAGCCGCGGUAAUACGGAAGGUCCAGGCGUUAUCCGGAUUUAUUGGGUUUAAAGGGAGCGUAGGCCGCAAGUCAAGCGUGUUGUGAAAUGCAGGGGCUCAACCUCUGGAUUGCAGCGCGAACUGGCAUGCUUGAGUACGCACGAGGUAGGCGGAAUUUGUGGUGUAGCUGUGAAAUGCUUAGAUAUCACGAAGAACUCCGAUUG
Molecule: ribosomal RNA, 691 nt
Filed under: uncultured bacterium
Lineage: Bacteria
Description: bacterial SSU rRNA
Rfam family: Bacterial small subunit ribosomal RNA
Source: RNAcentral